Molecule: ribosomal RNA, 273 nt
Filed under: uncultured prokaryote
Description: partial 16S ribosomal RNA
Rfam family: Bacterial small subunit ribosomal RNA
Source: RNAcentral
UACGGAGGAUGCGAGCGUUAUCCGGAUUUAUUGGGUUUAAAGGGUGCGCAGGCGGGAGAUUAAGUCGGCGGUGAAAUUUUGCAGCUCAACUGUAAAAGUGCCUUCGAAACUGGUUUCCUUGAGUGUAGAUGAAGUAGGCGGAAUUUGUGGUGUAGCGGUGAAAUGCAUAGAUAUCACGAGGAACUCCGAUUGCGCAGGCAGCUUACUAAACUACUACUGACGCUCAGGCACGAAGGCGUGGGGAGUCAAACAGGAUUAGAUACCCCGGUACGU